RNAcentral lists this long non-coding RNA (620 nucleotides) under Parus major (Great Tit). RNAcentral describes it as "lncRNA (ENSPMJG00000001242.1)". Lineage: Eukaryota; Metazoa; Chordata; Aves; Passeriformes; Paridae. The record is from RNAcentral.
GAGGGAGAUGACUUGAAUUUCUCAUAGACUGAGCUCCAUAAAAAAGAGAGAACUAACCCUAGAAAAAGAGCAGAACAAGUGUUUUUGGGAUCAGAACACAGAGGGAACAGCAUCACCUUGGAGCAGCUCAGGAGGCAGCUGGACAACAGAAAGAUGGAAAAGGCACUGAAGGAAAUGAGGAUGGAGUGUCACAGACAAAUGGAGUGCCAGCUCUGGUGUUGAAGAUGUGCUAGAGAAAACCAGAAAGAUGCCAGGACAUUCAAAAGGUAGAAACAAACAAAUCUUUUGCUUGACCUGAACUGCAAUGGAGCAACAGAAGUGGAGAAAUCCCAGCUGGAAAAAGAAAUAAAUGAUUGGAAACUCAAAGCAGAAGAGUUUAAGAGUGCAAAGGAUGAGAAAGAAGCCAGAAUACGUGAAAUGGAGGCCAGGCUGAGCGAGUUGGAGCUGGAAAAAUCAGCUGGUUACUGAAUGACACAAAACUGGAAAAGGAUGAGCUCCUGCAGGAGCUCCAGGCUGGCCAAAGGGAGCUAUGUGGCCCUGCAGAGGCAUUUGAAGAGGAAUUAUCAGGGUGAAAUCAAGGAAAUGGAAAAUAGUGCACACAGACUGAAAAUGCAGAGCAG